Molecule: ribosomal RNA, 497 nt
Filed under: uncultured bacterium
Lineage: Bacteria
Description: partial 16S ribosomal RNA
Rfam family: Bacterial small subunit ribosomal RNA
Source: RNAcentral
GAUGAACGCUGGCGGCGUGCCUAAUACAUGCAAGUCGAGCGAACAGAUAAGGAGCUUGCUCCUUUGACGUUAGCGGCGGACGGGUGAGUAACACGUGGGUAACCUACCUAUAAGACUGGAAUAACUCCGGGAAACCGGGGCUAAUGCCGGAUAACAUUUAGAACCGCAUGGUUCUAAAGUGAAAGAUGGUUUUGCUAUCACUUAUAGAUGGUCCCGCGCCGUAUUAGCUAGUUGGUAAGGUAACGGCUUACCAAGGCAACGAUACGUAGCCGACCUGAGAGGGUGAUCGGCCACACUGGAACUGAGACACGGUCCAGACUCCUACGGGAGGCAGCAGUAGGGAAUCUUCCGCAAUGGGCGAAAGCCUGACGGAGCAACGCCGCGUGAGUGAUGAAGGUCUUCGGAUCGUAAAACUCUGUUAUUAGGGAAGAACAAAUGUGUAAGUAACUGUGCACGUCUUGACGGUACCUAAUCAGAAAGCCACGGCUAACUACGUG